Molecule: long non-coding RNA, 244 nt
Filed under: Coffea arabica (coffee)
Lineage: Eukaryota; Viridiplantae; Streptophyta; Magnoliopsida; Gentianales; Rubiaceae
Description: long non-coding RNA (CARA_LNC004796)
Source: RNAcentral
UCAAUAUAAAAAUCUACAUCUGGCUACGUCAAUUUUGCAACAGUUUGCCAACUUGUUACAAAAGAUUUGAAAGGUAUUUUAUCUUCAACAGAAUCUAAAACCAAAUGAAUAUUUCGAAGUGGUUAAACAAAAUGCUCAUGGGUUUGGUUGCCAAUUCAUGUACUAAUCACAAAUCAAGAACUACUUGGUUUCUAUCCAAGUGGACAUUUUCAUUGGCUUGGGUAUUAAGCAUCGAAAGUCUCUU